AUGUACCUUCGAUGCGCCGUCCACGACACCCCGCGGCAAUGGCGCAAGUGGCUGCCGGCAGCGGAGUUCUGGUACAACUCCACGCACCACGCGUCCCUCAAGUGCUCGCCCUUCCGGGCGCUCUACGGCGUCGAUCCCAGCCUGGGCGGCUUGCCGCACUUCAGCACCGACUCGACUCCGAGCGCGCCCGUGGAUGAACUGGACUAG
Molecule: ribosomal RNA, 207 nt
Filed under: Triticum aestivum (bread wheat)
Lineage: Eukaryota; Viridiplantae; Streptophyta; Magnoliopsida; Poales; Poaceae
Description: partial small subunit ribosomal RNA
Source: RNAcentral